GGGGCGCUGCGUGUUUGCUGCGGAGGCGCCUUCGCUCUGGGAACUUGUUCUGUCACCGAGUGCGCCGGGCUGGCCGCUUUGACCCUCUUGGUAUCGGGUGGGCGGCAUCUUGGGUGGCUGGGGUCUGGGACGCCACUUUUCUGGACGCUCCUCGGCUAAGAAGAAGGGCGCGGUUGGAAACCACAUCCCCGAAAGGUGGAAAGACUAUCUCCCAGUUGGACAGCGGAUGCCUGGGACUCGGUUCAUUGCUUUCCAAGUUCCUUUGCAAAAGAGUUUUGAAGAGAAACUUGCUCCAGAAGAACGCUUUUCCCCUUUGAAUCGUUUAAACAAAACCCGAGAACAAAAUGACGAACUAGGACUGAUAAUUGAUUUAACAUAUACUCAACGGUAUUAUAAGCCAGAGGUAAACAGAACCCUUCAUUGAAAAGAACUUUCUUCAUUCUAAUACUAAAAAAGUUCAUGGUAAUUCAGCAAUAAUUCAGAAGUUGUCAUCUUGUGCUAAUGUUAAGGCCGGCCUUCUUUCCUGGGUGAUAAUUUUAAUAAGGGAACCAAAUGGUUUCCUUAAUUAAAUAUUUUUAAUUGCUGACUUAAAUGAGAAUGGAGACAUGAAUUGAGGUAUAAUAUUUGUCAGUAGGCUGUUGGUGUGGUUAAGAAAUUUUAUUAGCGUCCACAUUCAUUAUUUUGAAAAUGCAGUAGAUUUAGUAAGACUAGUAGUGGCCUGAAAGGAAAGAAAAGAAUACGUUGUAUGUCUUUAGCACUUAUUUCAAGCAGUUGCCUGAGCAUAUGUAAGCAUCAUGGUAAAUGAAAGACACUUGUCCUCUAAGUUUUAUGCUUUCAUUUCCUAAUAUCUUUUCAUAUAAUAAGGAAACCUAUGUAUUCUGCUGGCCCCAUGUGGCGUAUCAGUGGGAAAGAAUUAUCCUCCUGACCAGUUUCAUGGCCUUUGGAACAGUAACACCUAAUGUUUCUUAGCACUUGUAUUUGUAUAGCAGUUUGCCAUUUAAAAAGUACUUUCACAUGUAUUAAUUUAGUUAAUCUUCACAAUAAUCCUAUGCUGAUGAAAUAGCAGCAGUAUUAAUGUCUCCUAUUGGGUACUUAUUCUGCACUAAAGUCAGAAGAGAGAUGAUUACAAUUACUAAACAGUUUUUGCUGUUUUUGAUAAAACCGAGACUCAAAAAAGGAAGAAUUAAAACUUGAGUUCAUUGUCUCUCUUGUCCUUUUUUAUUGUGGUAAAGCAUCCAUAAUGAUAUUUAUCAGUUUAGUCGU
Molecule: long non-coding RNA, 1263 nt
Organism: Cynocephalus volans (Philippine flying lemur)
Lineage: Eukaryota; Metazoa; Chordata; Mammalia; Dermoptera; Cynocephalidae
Exons: 3
Source: RefSeq, a predicted model, not a curated record